RNAcentral lists this long non-coding RNA (31705 nucleotides) under Triticum aestivum (bread wheat). RNAcentral's name for it is "long non-coding RNA (TAES_LNC009887)". Lineage: Eukaryota; Viridiplantae; Streptophyta; Magnoliopsida; Poales; Poaceae. The record is from RNAcentral.
UGUGCUCAAAAGUGGAUUACCGCGUUUUGUCCGGUUUUAAAGUGAGGGGUGUUGGUUUAUACCCUAGAGGCAAUCAUGCGAGAUGUUAUUGUCUUAUAUAUUCAUGAACUUUUGUACUUAAACAUCAUCACUGAUAUGUAUCCAUAAUGACGUGUCCUAUUUGUGAGACUAUAUAUUGUAUGAUGAUUUUUCUAAUGGUCCCAAGUUGAUAACGUUAUGCACACACAUAUCCUUUGACUAAUAUAAGAUUCGAUUGAUGACUAUGUUUCUAAAGUCAUGGGCAUAGAUAUGCUAACCCUAUAUUAUGGUCUCAGGGAUGAGAAUUCCCAAGUCGGACAGACCCACUUUGAGACACGGUGAGAUAUUGCCAUAUGUUAGUCUCAAGUACAAUGUAUAUGCCAUGUCCUAGACAUAAGAUCUUGGCAUAUUCUUCUCAUAUUGAGGACCAACUCACUUACGGUAUAUCAACGCAACUCCGAACUAGUUAGUUAUAUAUAAUGGUAGAUUUUGGGUGAGUCAUGAAACAUGCCGUGAGACAUGGUUGGCUAAGAUGGGAUUUGCCCCUCCUACUCUCAGAGAUAUUGUUAGUGCCCUCUCAAGUGAUCAGAUUUUGAAAGCAUGAUCAUGGGACUUGGGUUAAGUGUUAACCUGAUUCGGUAAUCUAUAUCUUGAUUUUGAGAACAAAGGCCGAGCUACCAAUAAGAGUGGCAAGUACUUGCCUUGAUCACCACAACUAUAGGGCAAGGCAAAAGAAAUGUUGCAUAUGAUAUAUUAUCAAGGUUCAUCGAUAUAUGACACUAUGCACAAAGGAGAGUUGGCAUGUUUUACUAGGAGGCACUACUAGCUAUCGACUCGAGUCAUGUCCAUGUGUGCGUUAACCUAUAUAUAGGGUCAUGAACUUAAGGGGCAGGAGUCCAUUCGAAUUGGAUUCGAGUGAAAAAUGGGCCUAAAGUCCUGAUGUGCCUCAAGUGUUGAUCCCAUUUCUAACAUCUAUAUAAGUGGAGGGGCAAGAACCUAGAAUGGUUUCAACCAAUCCAACGACCUAUCAGCCUCCACUCACAAAGUCACUUUGUGUGAUCGGACCUUGCAGUCCAUCGCUCGAUAUUCCUCCCUGCACAUUUGGAUACCUUAGAAGUGUUGCACCUGCAACACUUGCAUGAACCAUUCGAGGGAACUAUGAGGAAAUGUUUGAGAGAUCCACAAGGAGGAGACAGGGACGUACUUCACCAACUCUUUUUCCGUUAUCGUCACUGUGGGUCGAGUGGUAAACCCCAUUCCUGUGAUCAAUCUCCGCACCAUGUCCUUGGUUUGGCGGAAGAAAAUUUUGUUUUCUCUAUCGUAGCGUACUUCCUGCCCCAACAAAGGGACCAAAUUGAGCAUCUCAAUAAGUUGAGGGAUGAAAAGGAGCAUGCUUGCCCGGGUAGUUGUUGCCUACUGGUAGUAUACCUUGUUAGUGCUCGUUAGUUAAGUAGCUCACUCUAGUCCUUUUAGGUUUUCAGCACAGCACUUGCAAUCGCUAUGCACCACACGUCAUUAGGCUUAGAGUUUGAACUCAGGGCCUCUAACAACCUUGACAGUCUUGUGAAACACCUGAUCUGCUCGUGGGUUGGCGCGAACAUCACGGAUCGUGGAGACUAGCACGUUCUUUGUAAGAACAAUAAAAGAAGAAGUGGAGUCUGAAAAGCCACAGGUUGAACGCAGCAUAGAAUCUCAUGUGUGUUCUGUUGGAAAUAUGCCCUAGAGGCAAUAAUAAAAGUAUUAUUAUAUUUAAAUGUUCAUGAUAAAUGUCUUUUAUUCAUGCUAUAACUGUAUUAUCCGGAAAUCGUAAUACACGUGUGAAUACAUAGACCACAAUAUGUCCCUGGUGAGCCUCUAGUUGACUAGCUCGUUGUGAUCAACGGAUAGUCAUGGUUUCCUGACUAUGGACAUUGGAUGUCGUUGAUAACGGGAUCACAUCAUUAGGAGAAUGAUGUGAUGGACAAGACCCAAUCCUAAGCAUAGCACAAAGAUCGUGUAGUUCGUUUGCUAGAGCUUUGCCAAUGUCAAGUAUCUCUUCCUUUGACCAUGAGAUCGUGUAACUCCUGGAUACCGUAGGAGUGCUUUGGGUGUAUCAAACGUCACAACGUAACUGGGUGACUAUAAAGGUGCACUACAGGUAUCUCCGAAAGUAUCUAUUGUUUUAUGCGGAUCGAGACUGGGAUUUGUCACUCCGUGUAAACGGAGAGGUAUCUCUGGGCCCACUCGGUAGGACAUCAUCAUAUGCGCAAUGUGACCAAGGAGUUGAUCACGGGAUGAUGUGUUACGGAACGAGUAAAGUGACUUGCCGGUAACGAGAUUGAACAAGGUAUUGGAUACCGACGGUCGAAUCUCGGGCAAGUAAAAUACCGCUAGACAAAGGGAAUUGAAUACGGGAUUGAUUAAGUCCUUGACAUCGUGGUUCAUCCGAUGAGAUCAUCGUGGAACAUGUGGGAGCCAUCAUGGGUAUCCAGAUCCCGCUGUUGGUUAUUGACCGGAGAACGUCUCGGUCAUGUCUACAUGUCUCCCGAACCCGUAGGGUCUACACACUUAAGGUUCGAUGACGCUAGGGUUAUAAAGGAAGCUUGUAUGUGGUUACCGAAUGUUGUUCGGAGUCCCGGAUGAGAUCCCGGACAUCACGAGGAGUUCCGGAAUGGUCCGGAGGUAAAGAUUUAUAUAUGGGAAGUCCUGUUUUGGUCACCGGAAAAGUUUCGGGCGAUAUCGGUAUUGUACCGGGACCAUCGGGAGGGUCCCGGGGGUCCACCAAGUGGGGCCACCUGCCCCAGAAGGCUGCGUGGGCCAUGUGUGGGAGGGGACCAGCCCCUAGGUGGGCUGGUGCGCCCCCCACAAGGGGCCAAGGCGCAAGGGAGAGUGGAGGGGGGCAAACCCUAGUCCAGAUGGGCCUUAAGGCCCACCUAGUGGGCGCCUCCCCUCUCUCCCCCUCCUGGCCGCCGCCCCCUUUGCCAUCUAGGGCUGGCCGCACCCCUUGGGGGUGGGAAACCCUAAAGGGGGCGCAGCCCCCCCUCUCCCCUAUAUAUAGUGAGGCCUAGGGCUGCCCAUAACACAUGAGUUCUCUCCCUCUUGGUGCAGCCCUACCUCUCUCCCUACUCCUCCUCUCCCAUGGUGCUUGGCGAAGCCCUGCGGGAUUGCCACGCUCCUCCACCACCACCACGCCGUUGUGCUGCUGCUGGAUGGAGUCUUCCUCAACCUCUCCCUUUCUCCUUGCUGGAUCAAGGCGUGGGAGACGUCACCGGGCUGUACGUGUGUUGAACGCGGAGGUGCCGUGCGUUCGGCACUUGAUCAUCGGUGAUUUGAAUCACGACGAGUACGACUCCAUCAACCCCGUUCACUUGAACGCUUCCGCUUAGCGAUCUACAAGGGUAUGUAGAUGCACUCUCCUUCUACUCGUAGCUGGUUUCUCCAUAGAUAGAUCUUGGUGACACGUAGGAAAAUUUUGAAUUUCUGCUACGUUCCCCAACAUGUUCUUCGUGUGUUCAUAUCCUACCUCUUGAUGUCGUGAGCUUGACUAUGUGACGAAUUACGGAGGGGUUCCGGAGUGUAUCGGGUACAUACCAGAGUACCGUAGGGGUUACCGGAACUCCCCGGUGGAAGAUAUGUGCCACAUGGGCCAUAGGAGGGAGGCUAACGAGCCCACAAUGGGCUGGUGCGCCCCCCACAAAGGAGGAGGCCAAAUUGGUUUAGGGAAGGUUGCGCCACCCCCUUUCCUUUUCCUACUCCCUCUCCUUUCUUUUCCCUCCUGUGAAGAAAGGAAAAAAAGGGGGACGAAUCCUACCAGGAUUAGGAGUCCUUGUAGGACUCCCCCAUGGCGCGCCCCUCUUGGCCGGCCACCCCUCCUUCCCUCCUUUAUAUACAAGGGCGGGGGCACCCCAAAGGCACACCAAUAGUUCUCUUAGCCGUGUGCGGUGCCCCCCUCCACAGUUUACUCCUCCGGUCAUAGUGUCGUAGUGCUUAGGGGAAGCCCUGCGUGGAUCACAUCACCAUCACUGUCACCACGCCGUCGUGCUGACAGAACUCUCCCCCGACCCUCUGCUGGAUCAAGAGUUUGAUGGACGUCAUCGUGCUGAACGUGUGCUGAACUCGAAGGUGCCAUACGCAGUGGCAGACCCAGGAAUCAAAGUUAGCCGGGGCGGAAAUUUAAGUUCUAAUUUUUUUAGCUGCAAAUGCAAGCCUACUUAAUCAAAAUUCAUGACCUUCAACUAUCAAAAACAUUAAAAAAAGCCUUAAAGACUAUUAACAUGGAUUUUUGUCGCUUGAUAUGCUCACACUUGAUGCCACAAUACAUUCUCACAAUAUCAAGCAAGACCUACGAAAUUACGAAUGUAUUAGCACCAGUGCGAUAAUUGUGCAAAGUACAAAAGGUUGUAGAGGUAGACAUUUUUAUAGUAUGAAAAUGUAUAUGAGUCUGCUUAUCACUAAUUUUGAAAAAAAAGAUCAUGACAUACUCCCUCCGUAAAGAGUAGUGAUUUAAGCGCUUUUUAUUUCUGUACCGAGGGAGCACUAGUUAUGUCACUCUUACUAUAUCCACUUAUAAUAUGUGAAUAUGUAAUAUACGAUUCCUCUAUUUUUAAGAUAUGUCAGACGAAUCAAAUCUUCUUAUGGUUUGUAAACCAUCAGAUCAUUAAAUAGCGCCGAAAUGCCUGGAUGUGUCUACUUCGAUCGAGGAGGUCAUCUUUAAGCAUUGUUCUCAUACGCUUAAUAAAACAGCGCAUGUGCCUGCUCAUUUUUCUUUUUGUAAUGAGACUUCCGUUAGUUGGACUGUGGAGCCGCCGAGCUGCCUAAUCCCGGUACUUGUGGAUGAUGUACUGCCUUUGAUCAAUUAAUAAAGCAAGCCAUGAUGACUUUCCUUUAAAAAAAAUAGCGCUGGAAGUUGCGGCACGGAGCAGCGGCUGGAAAUCAUAGACACUGCUAAACUGGCCGCGACGCAGCUGUAGCAAAGUUCGUCAGUGGUGGCUUGGGAGUUGGGAGGGGGUCAAUUUUUCUUUUCUUUUUUUGAGAAAAUGUGGGGGUCAAUGUGGGCAAUGGGAGACCAAUACAUUCAGUAAUACCGAAUACUGGAUUCAUUUUAUGUUCGGCAGCAUGCGUUACAUCAUUUGGGCCUUAAGCAUAAUUGUGCAAAUGCUACAGACCAGCCCAAACCAUGUAGCCCAGCCGAAACUAUCUCACUCUGCUCUGCCUCGCCUACUGCUUCGCAGAAACUGUAAAUAAGCAAAAGCCGCCGCCAUGAAAACUGCUUGCCGCUGCCAUGAAAUCAGCUCGCCGCUGGAUGAUAGGUAGGUAGGGGUCGCUGCUCUGCUACCGAAGACCUGGGGCGGCCGCCCCAGCUCGCCCCAAUGGUGGAUCCGCCACUGGCAGUAUGUUCGGUAUUAAGAUCGGUUGAAUCGCGAAGACGUUUGACUACAUCAACCACGUUAACUUAACGCUUUCAUUUUCGGUGUACGAGGAUACGUGGACACACUCUUUUCCUCUCGUUGCUAUGCAUCUCCUAGAUAGAUCUUGCGUGAUCGUAGAAUUUUUUUUGAAAUUGCAUGCUACAUUUCCCAACACUAGUUGCGAGUUGAGAGUGGGAUUUCAACUGAAAAAGAAUGUCGGGCCAUAGUUGAGAGUGAGGGUGGACUUGCAACUGGGACAAAAAAGGCCAGGCCCGAGUUAUGAGUCAAAGAUGAACUUGCAACUGGGAUAAAAAAGGAAGAAACCGAGUAGUGAUCAAGGAUCCGAUGCAUAUGGUACGAGCAUGGAGAGACUAUGCCAUAACUGCUUGGUACUUAUGGUGGGAGAGACGUAAAUUAAUUCAUGAAGGAAAAUCACUAGACGCAUACCAAACUUCUUCGGGGUUCGUGCUAUAACGGCAAACUUUGUUUGUUAAUGCCCAUAUUUCUAAUGCUUCGAGUAAAAAGGGGGUGGAUUAGACCCCUACGAGAUUUGUUAAGCUCAAUGCGGAUGCAUCUUUUGACCAUGAUCUAUAAGCACAGCUAGAACUGUUCUUAGAGGUGACAAAGGAAAAUCAAUUGGUGGCAGAAACUGGAAGACUGAUUGAGUGUGGACAUUCUAAGAGCAGAAGCUUUGGCUCUUAGAUUGGGCCUUUUUAUGGCACAAAAGGCGGGAUGCAACCAGCUUAUUAUUAACUCAGAAAAAUAUGGAAGACAUUGAUAUAAUAAAGAAUGGAGGACAUUCCGCGGGAGCGGCGACGACAAUUUUUGAUGAUUGCUAUUUUCUGGCUUGAUUUGCUUCUUACUAGCUUGGAACAUUGUAAUAGGGAGGCGAAUAUGGUCGCUCAUGAACUGGCUAGGUUAGCAAAAUUUUCCGAAAGUAGGGACUGGUUUGAGGAGCCAAUGGAGGAGAUUGUACCUUCUAUUAUAGAUGAUGUAACCGUUAUUUCAAAUUAAUAAAGUAUUAUUUUUCAAAAAAAAAAUGGAGAGACGAUGCCAGCGUCGAGAGGUGAUGGCAUGUUGCAUGAAUGAGCCACACUUCGAUAUAACCCUCCUCACUAAACAUAUAAAGGGCAAUAUGAACCUUUCACAAGUCAUACCCAGUUUCGUAUGUAUGGUGGGUCACCCGCCAGACGAAUACAUACGUGCCCAUUAGCUUUUUCCUUUUUCUUUAACCUUCCGAAAAUGUGCAUCAAGUGGAAGUGGGCUGGGAAAAUAACGCUGUUAUGCCUAGUUAAUACUUUCCUUUUCUUCUGUUCUGCGUCUUAUCUAGCUAGAUUUCGUUGGUUUUAUUUAUUUUCUUAAUUUUUUAUCUUUUCUUUUCCCAUUUUCUUAAAUUUAUGAUUUUUCUAAAUCAUGAUCAUUUUCUUAAAUUCAUGAAAUUUUUUCAAAUCCCUGAUUUUUAUAUGAAUCGUUGUACUUUUUUUAAAAUUCAUGAACAAUUAUUCAAAUUGAUGAUCUUUCUUUAAUUUCGUAAACAUUUUCCAAAUAUGUGAACUUUUUAUUUUUUUUAAAUUUUUAAAAAUUCUUGAAUUUAUUUUCAAGUCGAUGAACUUCAAAUGGCCCAAAUUCAUGAACUUUCUCUUUCCCAUUUAUUUAAAUUUGUGAUUUAAAAAAAAGAAAUUUGGAAAAAAUGUUUGUGUGUUUCAAAUUUUCUUAGAAUGCGAACAUUGUUUGGAUCUGCGAACAAUUUUUGAAAAUGGGAACACUAAGUAAAACUCUGAACAAAAUUUAACAACCCGAACAUUUUUUUGAAUUUAUGAAUUUUUUUAAAAUUUUGAAUAUGUUUUAACAUUAAUUACUAAAUAUGAACAAACAUUGGAAUGUGAACAAAGUUUGGAAAUUCUUAAAAAUUUCUGAAUUUAGAAUAUUGAUUAAUAAAUAUGGAAAAAUCGGAAUUCUGAACAUUUUUUUAAGAAAUUUCAACAUGAAUAUUUUGAGAAAUUAAGAAGAAAAUUUUGAAGUUCUCAUUUUUUCUAAUCUAUGAAAAAUUGAAACAAUAAAUAUAAAAACAAAAAGGCUAAAGAAAAUGAAAAAGAAAAGAAAAAAAUAUGAGAGAAUAUAAAAAGAAAAAGAAAAAAAGACGUUUGGGGAACCUCCUAGAAGAUUCCCAAAACCCGAUAAAAAACUUACUAGGAAGAUGAUGUUCCCAAAAUUGGGAACAAUUUUGCAAAUUAUUUUAGUAACCUUUCUUUGAACAUCUGCGAAAAUUUUGAAAUCUGUCAACUUUUUUUCAAAAUCAAAGAAAUGGUUUCAUAUACGCGUGCGCUUGGGCUGGCCCAACAUGUGUCCUAUGGGAGUGAUGCUGUCGUCCAGUUGGACCAAGGUCUAAGCGUUUUUUUCAUUUCUUAUUUUUGUUUUUCUUCUCUUUUUCAUUAAUUCAUUUUUCUCCUUUUUAAACUUGAUUAUUCUUUUUAAAACAUAUUCAAAAAUUUGAAAUAUUUUUUGGCAUACCCAAAUAACAAUUUUAAAUUAUAAUUUUAAGUUUUUUUUCCUUCAAAUGUUUAUUAAAUGCUUUUAAAAUGGUUUUAAUUUUAUACAUAUGUAUUUAUUUGUUAUGUUAAAAACUUAAAAUAAUUGUUUUAAGUACUUGUUUAAAUUACAAUUUUCAACACAUUUCUCCUUCAAUCCUAGCGCGGAUGCCUACCAUGGACAAUGCCCACCUGACGGAAAAGUUGGGGUCAUUUCUAGGAUGUCCAAAAAAACAUAUUCAAUGUAGUGUGUCUGGGGUAGGCCAGAAGGCUCCGUUCGAUAGCACAUUUUUGCCGACGUCUCUCAUGUGACCCUAACUUUUCUCCAUGGCCUUGUAUGGCGAAUUCAAGGCACCACGUCAAGUUACUUGGGUUUUUAACAAGUUUUGCAUAUGGAGUUUUCUCGGUCAAAAAGGCCGAUAAAUGGCCGACCGUGUCGCGACUUGCAUGCGAUAUCAGAAAAAGUUCAAACAUGGCAUAGAUGGUUACCAUGGGCAUGCCACAUUCUUGCAAAAGUUGAGGUCAUUUAAAUAAUAUCGGAUAAUAGACCAUAUGCAACGGAGGGUGUUUGGGUAGGCCAGAAGGCUUCGUCUGAGAGCACGUUGUUUUUCAACAUCCUUGAAAUGGACCCAAUUUUUUCUCAUGCCCUUAUAAGACCAAUUCAAGGUGCCAAGCCAAGUUGUUUGGGGUUUUGACAAGUUCUGCAUUUUUCCAGAGUAUUCCUGGUGAAAAAAGAUUGAUAAAUGGCAGGACGUGUCGCAGCGUGCGAGCGGUGUUGGAAUUCGUUCAAACCUGACAUGAAUGCCUAUGGGCAUGCCCACUGAUGUCUACUACACAACCUUCUUCUUGUAGACGUUGUUGGGCCUCCAAGUGCAGAGGUUUGUAGCACAGUAGCAAAUUUCCCUCAAGUGGAUGACCUAAGGUUUAUCAAUCCGUGGGAGGCGUAGGAUGAAGAUGGUCUCUCUCAAGCAACCAUGCAACCAAAUAACAAAGAGUCUCUUGUGUCCUCAACACACCCAAUACAAUGGUAAAUUGUAUAGGUGCACUAGUUCGGCAAAGAAAUGGUGAUACAAGUGCAAUAUGUAUGAUAUAUCUGAGUAUUUGUAAUCUAAAAAUAUAAAAACAGCAAGGUAGCAAGCGAUAAAAGUGAGCGUAAACGGUAUUGCAAUGCUAGGAAACAAGGCCUAGGGUUCAUACUUUCACCAGUGCAAGUUCUCUCAACAAUAAUAACAUAAUUAGAUCAUAUAACUAUCCCUCAACAUGCAACAAAGAGUCACUCAAAAGUCACUAAUAGCGGAGAACAAACGAAGAGAUUAUGGUAGGGUACGAAACCACCUCAAAGUUAUUCUUUCUGAUCGAUCUAUUCAAGAGUUCAUACUAGAAUAACAACUUAAGACACAAAUCAACCAAAACCCUAACGUCACCUAGAUACUCCAAUGUCACCUCAAGUCUCCGUGGGUAUAAUUAUACGAUAUGCAUCACACAAUCUCAGAUUCAUCUAUUCAACCAACACAAAGAACUUCAAAGAGUGCCCCAAAGUUUCUACCGGAGAAUCAAGACGAAAACGUGUGCCAACCCCUAUGCAUAGAUUCCCAAGUUCGCGGAACCCGCAAGUUGAUCACCAAAACAUACAUCAAGUGGACCACGUGAUAUCCCAUUGUCACCACAGAUAAGCACAUGCAAGACAUACAUCAAGUGUUCUCGAAUCCUUAAAGACUCAAUCCGAUAAGAUAACUUCGAAGGGAAAACUCAAUCCAUUACAAGAGAGUAGAGGGGGAGAAACAUCAUAAGAUCCAACAAUAAUAGCAAAGCUCGAGAUACAUCAAGACCGUACCACCUCAAGAACACGAGAGAGAGAGAGAGAGAGAGAGAGAGAGAUCAAACACAUAGCUACUAGUACAUACCCUCAGCCCCGAGGGUGAACUACUCCCUCCUCGUCAUCGAGAGCGCCGGGAUGAUGAAGAUGGCCACCAGUGAGGGAUCCCCCCUCUGGCAGGGUGCCGGAACAGGGUCCCGAUUGGUUUUCUGUGGCUACAGAGGCUUCUGGCGGUGGAACUCCCGGUCUAUUCUGUUCCCCGAUGUUUUUAGGGUAUAUGGACAUAUAUAGGCGAAAGAAGUCAGUCAGGGGAGCCACGAGGGGCCCAUGAGGGUGGGGGGCACGCCUCCCUGCCUCGUGGCUUCCUCAGAGCUUCCGUGAUGUCUACUCCAAGUCUUCUGGAUUGCUUCCGUUCCAAAAAUAACUCUCCCGAAGGUUUCAUUCCGUUUGGACUCCGUUUGAUAUUCCUUUUCUUCGAAACACUGAAAUAGGCAAGAAAACAACAAUUUGGGUUGGGCCUCCGGUUAAUAGGUUAGUCCCAAAAAAAAUAUAAAAGUGUUUAGUAAAGUCCAUAAACAUCCAAAACAGAUAAUAUAAUAGCAUGAAUAAUUCAUAAAUUAUAGAUACGUUGGAGACGUAUCACCCACCGGCUUGCAAAAGAUGUGGUCAUUUAUCCAUAGUCCAAAAAUCCACCAGUUCGGAGGAGUGUGGCAGACUAGUCCAAGCGGGUGCAUCCGUGAGCAUGUAGUUUUUUCUAAUUUGAAUGCUUGUAUUAUUUGUAAUUUCUGUCAUUAUCAAUCAACAUGAACAUUCUCUUAUCUCCUAACCAUUUCUUGAAAUUCGUCAACAAUUUUUGUUAUUUCGAAUUGUGUACAAAUAUUUUACAGACUUCAACACUUUCCCAGAAUUGUUAACAAAUUCCCAACAAUUGAUGAAAAUUUUGAUCACAAAUUACAAAUAAUGUACUUUAAAUUAAUAUUAAUUGUUUUUUAAGACACAAACUCUUCUUGAAUUUGUGAACUAAAAAUUCAAAAAUGAGAACAUUUUUUAAAAUUCUAGAAUAUUCUUACAAAUUGUAAAAAAUAUUUGAAAAUAAGAAUUUUUUUGGUAUUCGAAACAAUAUUUCAAUUUUUCAAUAGGUUCCUAAUAAUAAAGUUCAAAAAGUAGAAAAAUCAAUUAACAAAAAAUAGAAGGAAAACAAAAAAAGGAAAAAAAAGCUCUUAGAAGUACGUCAACUAAUAAUCCAUAGCCCCCCCCCCCACGCCCUAAAUUGUGCAUCGAAGGAAUAAUUUUUCUUCUAAUUAGACGGAUAAAUCCGUGAUGAGGUAAGUGAUGCCAAUUGUUACUCACAUCACGGAAAAUUACAAUCAAUGUUGUUCGGCUCAAUAGCUUCAGGUGUCCCACACCCUAGCCAGGUCAUAGUCCUACCUUCUAAACGAGCAAAGUUCACCAAAGAAUUACUAACUUUAUUCUAAGACCUACUAAUAUGAGUAAUACUAGUUCUAUGAAGACUCAAAAGAUACUUUAUCUCCUUCACCAAGGAAGAAUACAUCGAUUUAUCAAUCUCGUGGGCUUGAAUCAUCUUUACUGCUACUGAGGAAUCCAUUUCAAUUGUAACCGGAAAAUCAAUGCGUGAUGAGGCUAAAGAGAGUCCUUCCAUACACGCACCAAGUUUCGCUUCCAGUGCGUCCCGACAAGAGGAAAGCUGCCUGCAUGAAGAGAAAAUGAUCGCACCACUUUCAUCACGAAAUACCAUGCUUGACCCAGCUCUAUCAUCCGGAGAGAGAGAACCAUCGCAGUUCAGUCUAGGCCAUCCGUGCAAUGGAGGAGACCAUCUCAAGAGCGCAGCAUCAGACUUAAUUUUAAAUGGCUUGGGAAUAGCAUGUACAGGAACUAUCAUUGAUUUACCUUUGCAUGGACGAGCAAAGGGUUCAUGCUUGAUGCACUACAACGAAUCCAGGUAACUGCACAAGAAUCUCUUCGACACACCAACCAGGGCGGAUCUUUGUUAUGCACUAAUUCAUUUCUAAUAUGCCAGCACCUCCACAUCGUCAUCAGCAACAUGCAACAUUCAACUUCAGGAAAGAAUCAAGAAUAUUAAGCAGCCACUCCUGACCUGAAUGUGUAAUGGAUUUUAGCUCAGGUAUGCGCCAUACUUCAAAGAUAGUACCCCAUAGUUCCACUGCUCUUGGAUAGAUGCAAACGAAUGAAAAUGGUCUUCUAUUCCUUUAUCACAAAUUGGGCAAGUAGCUGAAGUUUCCAAUCCUCUUUUAUGCUUAUUUUCCCAUGUAGGCAGGGAAUUGGUCACACAGCGCCAUGCAAAAUUACGCACUCUGGGGAGCACAUCAUAAGACCAAUUAAGAUUCCAUACUUUACGAAUAACAUCAGGUAAUGAACUUGACGCAUCAUCUGUUUCUCCAGUAGCAAGGUUCAGUGCAAAGUUAUACGCGCUUUUGACUGAGAAGCAACCAUGUAUACCCGGUCCCCAAGCCAGUGUAUCAUCUUUGAGUUGUUGCGAAGCUUAGAUCUUUAGUAUUUCCACGACGUCACACGGUAAAAAGUAGUCCUAUAGAACCUGAACAUUUCAUAAACCGUUUGUAUUAAAAAAGCUCUGAAAUGAAACGAAUCCUACAUCUCCCUUGCAAGGAAACUGGAUUGUAUGAAAAGGGUCUAGGAAUCCAAUUGUCUCUCCACACCCAAAUACUUUGUCCAUUACCCACCCUCCAUAUCAACCCUUUUUUAGAAAGUCUAACCCAUGACAUAUAGCAGUCCAAGAAGAAGAGGCAUUGCCUGAGAAAACAAUAUCUUCUAUCUUCCCUAUAGUAUAAUAACGAGACUUCAAAAGACGGGCACAAAGUCUAUUCAGUUUCACAAUGAGCCUCCAAGCCUGACAGGCAAGAAGUGCUUGGUUGAAUAAACGAAAAUCCCUGAAACCUAGUCCACCCUUACACUUAGGUUGUUGCAAGCAUCCCCAAGAUUUCCAAUGAAAUUUAUGUUUGCCCUUCUCAGAACCCCAAUAAAAAUUCUGAACCAUCCUCAUCAAGUCAUCGCACACUGAGAAAGGGAGUAAAACACCCAUUAUAUAUCUAGGAAGCGCCUCUGCGACUGACUUAAUGAUAACCUCUCUUCCUGGUUGAGCAAGAAAUCCAUCCACCCAUUGGAUCAAUCUUGUAGUCAAGCUACUCUGAAGGUUUUGGAACUUCCCUUUCUACAUUCUACCUUAUGGGGUUGGGAGUCCAACAUAUAUCUCCUCAAAGCAUGAAGUGGACACAUGAAGAACAAAACGCACUUGCUCCUGAACAGUAGUGGGACAUUGCUACCUCUUGAGCACUUGCGUUGGUUUUCCCUUGAAGAGGAAAGGGUGGUGCAGCAAAGUAGCAUAAGUAUUUUCCCUCAGUUUUUGAGAACCAAGAUAUCAAUCCAGUAGGAGGCUACGCGCCAGUCCCUCGCACCUACACAAAACAAAUAAAUCAUCGCAACCAACGCGAUAAGGGGUUGUCAAUCCCUACACGGUCACUUACGAGAGUGAGAUCUGAUAGAUAUGAUAAGAUAAUAUUUUUGGUAUUUUUAUGAUAAAGAUGCAAAGUAAAAUAAAAGCAAAGUAUUGGAAGAUUAAUAUGAUGAAGAUAGACCCGGGGGCCAUAGGUUUCACUAGUGGCUUCUCUCAAGAGCAUACAUAUUUUACAAUGGGUGAACAAAACUGUUGAGAAAUUGAAAGAAUUGAGCAUAGUUACGAGAAUAUGUAGAUAUGAUCAUGUAUAUAGGCAUCACGUCCGAGACAAGUAGACCGACUCCUGCCUACAUCUACUACUAUUACUCCACACAUCGACCGCUAUCCAGCAUGCAUCUAGAGUAUUAAGUUCAUAAGAACAGAGUAACGCCUUAAGCAAGAUGACAUGAUGUAGAGGGAUAAACUCAUGCAAUAUGAUGAAAACCCUAGGGAUGGCAAUGGGUAGGGUAUGGGCGGGUACAACCUCCUUCUACCCAAACCCAUACCCAUAGAAAUUUUCUAUACCCACCCACUUCAGUACCCAUGGGUAUAAACUGACACCCAUGCCCAUACCCGAUCCCAUCGGGUAUCCUAUACCCAAUGGGUAUCCAUUGGGUACAAUAUAUAGCAUUCAAAUUCUUAAGAGGUAGAGAAAUGAGUUCAAAAUUCAAGUGAUGGUGGUAGAGUAGUAUAGCAUGUAUGUGGCCUCCUCCAGUGGGUGGCCUCUUGGAGGCAUCAGGGGAGUAUGAGCAUCGGUUGGUGGAAGACCGACGUAGCAGAAGGCGGUGGUGGGAAUUGGGGAUCGUUGGAUCGAGUGUUCGACAAGAGUCUGGUAGUGAAGAGUCGAUAUUUCAUAUUUUUAGGAGUCACAUAGGAUGUAUGGGGAGUGGCGAGCAGGUGAUUAUGAGCCUAUGAGCUAUGACUUGUUUAAGGAAUACGAGAUUUAGGGUUGGACCAUAUGAGUUGGAUGUUAAACCCACAUGUUAUAGGAGUUAUUUUCAUUUAUUAAUUUUUUCUGGGUAUCCAUUGGGUUACCCAUGAGCACAAUUUCUUACCCAUGCCCUACCCAUAUAUUUUGCGGGUAUGGGUACCCAUUACCCGUGGAUAGAAAAUCUCUUCAUGUCUUGCCCAUACCCAUUGUUUUCGGGUAGGGUACCCGCGGGUACCCAUAACCAUGGGCAAAACUGCCAUCCCUAGAAAACCCCAUCUUGUUAUCCUCGAUGGAAACAAUACAAUACAUGCCUUGCUGCCCCUACUGUCACUUGGAAAGGACACCGCAAGAUUGAACCCAAAGCUAAGCACUUCCCCCAUUGCAAGAAAGAUCAAUCUAGUAGGACAAACCAAACUAAUAAUUCGAAGAGACUUGCAAAGAUAACCAAUCAUACAUAAAAGAAUCCAGAGAAGAUUCAAAUAUUGUUCAUAGAUAAACUUGAUCAUAAACCCACAAUUCAUCGGUCUCAACAAACAAACCGCAAAAUAAGAUUACAUUGAAUAGAUCUCCACAAGAGAGGGGGAGAACUUUGUAUUAAGAUCCAAAAAGAGAGAAGAAGCCAUCUAGCUAAUAACUAUGGACCCGAAGGUCUGAAGUAAACUACUCACACUUCAUCGAAGAGGCUAUGGUGUUGAUGUAGAAGCCCUCCGUGAUCGAUGCCCCCUCCAACGGAGCUCCAGAACAGACCCCAAGAUGGGAUCUCGUGGAUACAGGAAGUUACGGCGCUGGAAUUAGGAUUUUGGCUCCGUCUCUGAUCGUUUGGGGGUAUGUAGGUAUAUAUAGGAGGAAGAAGUACGUCGGUGGAUCAACAGGGGGCCCNNNNNNNNNNNNNNNNNNNNNNNNNNNNNNNNNNNNNNNNNNNNNNNNNNNNNNNNNNNNNNNNNNNNNNNNNNNNNNNNNNNNNNNNNNNNNNNNNNNNNNNNNNNNNNNNNNNNNNNNNNNNNNNNNNNNNNNNNNNNNNNNNNNNNNNNNNNNNNNNNNNNNNNNNNNNNNNNNNNNNNNNNNNNNNNNNNNNNNNNNNNNNNNNNNNNNNNNNNNNNNNNNNNNNNNNNNNNNNNNNNNNNNNCCCUACCUCGUGGCCUCCCUGUUGGUUGCUUGACAUAGGGUCCAAGUCUCCUGGAUCUUGUUCGUUCCAAAAAUCAAGUUCCCGAAGGUUUCAUUCCAUUUGGACUCCGUUUGAUAUUCCUUUUCUUCAAAACCGUAAAAUAGACAAAAAAAACAACAAUUCUGGACUGGGCCUCCGGUUAAUAGGUUAGUCCCAAAAAUAAUAUAAAAGUGGACAAUAAAGCCCAAUAAUGUCCAAAAUAGAAGAUAAUAUAGCAUGGAGCAAUCAAAAAUUAUAGAUACGUUGGAGACGUAUCAAGUAUCCCCAAGCUUAAUUCCUGCUCGUCCUCGAGUAGGUAAAUGAUAAAAACAUAAUUUUUGAUGUGGAAUGCUACUUGGCAUAAUUUCAAUGUUAUUCUUCUCAAUUGUGGUAUGAAUAUUCAGAUCCAAAAGAUUCAAGCCAAAAGUCUAAUAUUGACAUAAAAAUAAUAAUACUUCAAGCAUACUAACUAAGCAAUUAUGUCUUCUCAAAAUAACAUGGCCAAAGAAAGUUAUCCCUACAAAAUCAUAUAGUCUGGCUAUGCUCUAUCUUCACCACACAAAGUAUUUAAAUCAUGCACAACCCUGAUGACAAGCCAAUCAAUUGUUUCAUACUUUUGACAUUCUCAAAACUUUUUCAAUCUUCACGCAAUACAUGAGCGUGAGCCAUGGACAUAGCACUUUAGGUGGAAUAGAGUGGUGGUUGUGGAGAAGACAAAAAAGGAGAAGAUAGUCUCACAUCAACUAGGCGUAUCAACGGGCUAUGGAGAUGCCCAUCAAUAGAUAUCAAUGUGAGUGAGUAGGGAUUGCCAUGCAACGGAUGCACUAGAGCUAUAAGUAUAUGAAAGCUCAAAAAGAGACUAAGUGGGUGUGCAUUCAACUUGCUUGCUCACGAAGACCUAGGGCAUUUUGAGAAAGCCCAUCAUUGGAAUAUGCAAGCCAAGUUCUAUAAUGAAAAAUUCCCACUAGUAUAUGGAAGUGAUAGCAUAGGAGACUCUCUAUCAUGAAGAUCAUGAUGCUACUUUGAAGCACAAGUGUGGUAAAAGGAUAGUAACAUUAUCCCUUCUCUCUUUUUCUCUCAUUUUUUUAUUUGGGCCUUUUCUCCUUUUUAUGGCCUCUUUUUUUUAUUUGGGCUUCUUUGGCCUCUUUUUUUUCCGUCCGGAGUCUCAUCCCGACUUAUGGGGGAAUCAUAGUCUCCAUCAUCCUUUCCUCACUUGGAACAAUGCUCUAAUAAUGAUGAUUAUCACACUUUUAUUUUCUUACAACUCAAGAAUUACAACUCGAUACUUAGAACAAGAUAUGGCUCUAUAUGAAUGCUUCCGGCGGUGUACCCGAUAUGCAAUGAUGCAUGAGUGACAUGUAUGAAAGAAUUAUGAAUGGUGGCUUUGCCACAAAUACAAUGUCAACUACAUGAUCAUGCAAAGCAAUAUGACAAUGAUGAAGUAUGUCAUAGUAAACGAAAUGAUGGAAAGUUGCAUGGCAAUAUAUCUCGAAAUGGCUAUGGAAAUGCCAUAAUAGGUAGGUAUGGUGGCUGUUUUGAGGAAGGUAUAUAGUGGGUGUAUGAUACCGGCGAAAGGUGCGCGGUAUUAGAGAGGCUAGCAAUGAUGGAAGGGCGAGUGCGUAUAAUCCAUGGACUCAACAUUAGUCAAGAACUCAUAUACUUAUUGCAAAAAUCUACAAGUUAUCAAAGCAAAGUAUUACGCGCAUGCUCCUAGGGGGAUAGAUUGGUAGGAAAAGACCAUCUCUCAUCCCCGACCUCCACUCAUAAGGAAGACAACCAAUAAAUAAAUCAUGCUCCGACUUCAUCACAUAACGGUUCACCAUACGUGCAUGCCACGGGAAUCACAAACUUUAACACAAGUAUUUCUCAAAUUCACAACUACUCAACUAGCACAACUUUAAUAUCACCAUCUCCAUAUCUCAAAACAAUUAUCAAGUAUCAAACUUUUCAUAGUAUUCAACACACUCAUAAGAGAAUUUUAUUAUUAAUCUUGUAUACCUAGCAUAUUAGGAUUAUUUAAGCAAAUUAACAUGCUAUUUAAGACUCCCAAAAUAAUCUAAGUGAAGCAUGAGAAAUCAAUAGUUUCUAUAAGACAAAUCCACCGACGCGCUUUAAAAGAUAUAAGUGAAGUACUAGAGCAAAACUAUAUAACUCAAGAGAUAUAAGUGAAGCACAUAGAGUAUUCUAAUAAUUUCCGAAUCAUGUUUGUCUCUCUCAAAAGGUGUGUACAACAAACAUGAUUGUGUUAAACUAAAAAUCAAAGACUCAAAUCAUACAAGACGCUCCAAGCAAAACACAUAUCACGUGUUGAAUAAAAAUAUAGCUCCAAGUAAAGUUACCGAUAAAAGUAGACGAAAGAGGGGAUGCCUUCCGGGGCAUCCCCAAUCUUUGGCUUUUAGGUGUCCUUAGAUUAUCUUGGGGGUGCCAUGGGCAUCCCCAAGCUUAGGUUUUUAGGUGUCCUUAGAUUAUCUUGGGGAUGCCAUGGGCAUCCCCAAGCUUAGGCUCUUGCCACUCCUUGUUCCAUAAUCCAUCAAAUCUUUACCCAAAGCUUGAAAACUUCACAACACAAAACUUAAAGUAGAAAAUCUCGUGAGCUCCGUUAGCGACAGAAAACAAAAUACCACUUCAAGGUACUGUAAUGAACUCAUUUUUUAUUUAUAUUGGUGUUAAAACUAAUGUAUUCCAACUUCUCUAUGGUUUAUAAACUAUGUUACUAGCCAUAGAUUCAUCAAAAUAAGCAAACAACACACGAAAAACAGAAUCUGUCGAAAACAGAACAAUCUGUAGUAAUCUGUAGCUAGCGCAAAAUAUAGAAAAACCCAGAAAUUCUAAAAUAAAUUUAUGGACGUGAGGAAUCUAUCUAUUAAUCAUCUUCAAAAAGAAUUAACUAAAUAUCACUUUCCAAAUAAAAAUGGCAGCAGUUCUCGUGAGCGCUAAAGUUUCUGUUUUUUAAGCAAGAUUAACAAGACUUUCCCCAAGUCUUCCCAACGGUUCUACUUGGCACAAACACUAAUUAAACACAAAAAGCACAACCAAAAUAGAGGUUAUAUAAAUUAUUUAUUACUAAACAGGAGCAAAAAGAAAGGAGUAAAAAUAAAAUUGGGUUGCCUCCCAACAAGCGCUAUCGUUUAACGCCCCUAGCUAGGCAUAAAAAGCAAGGAUAGAUCUAGGUAUUGCCAUAAUAGUAAGAUAGAUCAUUAAAACUCAUUUCAUAUUCUCUAAGUUCGGCAGUAAGUUUUCUUUGAGGCAAGAAAAAGUAAUAAAAGGGCUAAAUUUAAUGGGACAAAAGUCCCCAAGAUCAACCUUGGGAGGUAUAGGUUCCUCCUUUGGCCCUCUGUAUUGCACAACCAAUUCAUCAUUAUAAGCAUUCUUUUGACAGAACUUUGUGAGCCUAUACUCAAGAGAAUAUCCUAGUUCAUUAUUUCGAAUGGCCAAAUCAUCAUUAAGUUCAGAAAUCCUAUCAACUAAGACAUUGGUAGGAAUCCUUUUUCUAAGAUUUUCAUUGAAAGCAACAUAGUGUAGGGAUUGAAAACACAUUAUUUCUUCUUGAUCAAAAAUGAUAGCCUCUAUGGGAGGACGGAAAGAGUCCACCCUAUAAUGCGCAAAGAUUUUUUUGGCCUCUUUUAUUAUGAAUCUGAACUCAUGAGCCAAAAAGAUAGUAGCGGCACGCUUAACAGAAGAAUGCUCAAUAUUAGAAAAUUCUAGGAAAAUCCUUUGUAUGCAAGGGUGCAUGUGCAUGAAUUGUCUUUCAAGUUCAACUACAAGCAUGGCAAUAUCGUCCGCAAGACUACUAGUUCUAUGAAGGAUAGAACUACCCAUAGAAGGCAAAGCACUGGCACAAGUAAAGAAAUCUUGGAUAACUCCUUUUCCAAUAAUAUUACCACUACCAAUACGGAAUUCUUUUGUAUGUAAGAUAGGGGGUUCUUCAGCAGGAGCAUCCGAAUUUUUCAUGAUAUUAUUAGUGUCCAUAUCGACAAUAAUUUCCCCAAUUUCAGACAUAACGGCAGAAAGUGCAAAAGGCAAAAAGAGGCAAAUAGAGAAAGAGAGUAAGGAUAGAGAGAGAGAGGGCGAAUAAAACGGCAAGGGUGAAGUGGGGGAGAGGAAAACGAGAGGCAAAUGGCAAAUAAUGUAAUGCGGAAGAUAAGGGUUUGUGAUGGGUAUUUGGUAUGUUGACUUUUGUGUAGACCUCCCCGGCAACGGCGCCAGAAAUCCUUCUUGCUACCUCUUGAGCACUUGCGUUGGUUUUCCCUUGAAGAGGAAAAGGUGGUGCAGCAAAGUAGCAUAAAUAUUUCCCUCAGUUUUUGAGAUCUAAUGUAUCAAUCCAGUAGGAGGCUACGCGCCAGUCCCUCGCACCUACACAAAACAAAUAAAUCCUCGCAACCAACGCAAUAAGGGGUUGUCAAUCCCUACACGGUCACUUACGAGAGUGAGAUCUGACAGAUAUGAUAAGAUAAUAUUUUUGGUAUUUUUAUGAUAAAGAUGCAAAGUAAAAUAAAAGAAAAGUAUUGGAAGAUUAAUAUGAUGAAGAUAGACCCGGGGGCCAUAGGUUUCACUAGUGGCUUCUCUCAAGAGCAUAAGUAUUUUAUGAUGGGUGAACAAAUUGCUAUUGAGCAAUUGAUAGAAUUGAGCAUAGUUAUGAUAAUAUCUAGGUAUGAUCAUCUAUAUAGGAAUCACGUCCGAGACAAGUAGACCGACUCCUGCCUGCAUCUACUACUAUUACUCCACACAUCGACCGCUAUCCAGCAUGCAUCUAGAGUAUUAAGUUCAUAAGAACAGAGUAACGCCUUAAGCAAGAUGACAUGAUGUAGAGGUAUAAACUCAUGCAAUAUGAUGAAAACCUCAUCUUGUUAUCCUCGAUGGCAACAAUACAAUACGUGUCUUGCUGCCCCUACUGUCACUGGGAAAGGACACCGCAAGAUUGAACCCAAAGCUAAGCACUUCUCCCAUUGCAAGAAAGAUCAAUCUAGUAGGCCAAACCAAACUGAUAAUUCGAAGAGACUUACAAAGAUAACCAAUCAUACAUAAAAGAAUUCAGAAAAGAUUCAAAUAUUGUUCCUAGAUAAACUUGAUGAUAAAUCCACAAUUCAUCGGUCUCAACAAACACACCGCAAAAGAAGAUUACAUCGAAUAGAUCUCCACAAGAGAGGGGGAGAACUUUGUAUUGAGAUCCAAAAAGAGAGAAGAAGCCAUCUAGCUAAUAACUAUGGACCCGAAGGUCUGAAGUAAACUACUCAUACUUCAUCGGAGAGGCUAUGGUGUUGAUGUACGAGCCCUCCGUGAUCGAUGCCCCCUCCAGCGGAGCUCCGGAACAGGCCCCAAGAUGGGAUCUCGUGGAUACAGGAAGUUACGACAGUGGAAUUAGGGUUUUGGCUCCGUCUCUGAUCGUUUGGGGUACGUAGGUAUAUAUAGGAGGNNNNNNNNNNNNNNNNNNNNNNNNNNNNNNNNNNNNNNNNNNNNNNNNNNNNNNNNNNNNNNNNNNNNNNNNNNNNNNNNNNNNNNNNNNNNNNNNNNNNNNNNNNNNNNNNNNNNNNNNNNNNNNNNNNNNNNNNNNNNNNNNNNNNNNNNNNNNNNNNNNNNNNNNNNNNNNNNNNNNNNNNNNNNNNNNNNNNNNNNNNNNNNNNNNNNNNNNNNNNNNNUAGGUGCGCCCCCCUACCUCGUGGCCUCCCUGUUGGUUGCUUGACAUAGUGUCCAAGUCUCCUGGAUCUUGUUCGUUCCAAAAAUCAUGUUCCCGAAGGUUUCAUUCCGUUUGGACUCCGUUUGAUAUCCCUUUUCUUCUAAACCCUAAAAUAGGCAAAAAAAACAACAAUUCUGAGCUGGGCCUUCGGUUAAUAGGUUAGUCCCUAAAAUAAUAUAAAAGUGGAUAAUAAAGCCCAAUAAUGUCCAAAACAGAAGAUAAUAUAGCAUGAAGCAAUCAAAAAUUAUAGAUACAUUGGAGACGUAUCAGACAUGCACUCCAAACAGAAUAGAGCAUUUAUCAUAGUUCAAACACUGACCAGUAGCGACCUCAUAGGCAUCAAGGGCCUGUUUAAUAUGCAUUUCUUGGACCUGAGAAGCCUAAAAAAAAUAGCAUUGUGUCAUCCGCAAACAAAAGGUGAGACAUACCUGGAGAUCUUCUAUAGAUUUUAACCAGUGUAAUAUCAUUUGACCUUACUCCAUGAUUUAAUAAAGCAGACAAUCCAUCAGUGACAAAAAUAAACAAGAAGGGUGAUAAUGGGUCACCUUGCUGAAGCCCACGCGACGGUGCAAAUGAAUCCAAGAGGAAACCCCGCCGGUUAGAGAAGCCCAUCUUUUGCAUCACUUGCUUAACAAAUGCCCAAUCAACCCUAUCAUAAGCUUAUGACAGAUCAAGCUUGUAAGCACAAAAACAUUUUGUUGGAACCUUCUCCCAUUUAAUAUAAUGAAUGCACUCAAAGGCCACCCAAGCAUUAUCAGUAAUUAUUCUGCCAGGGACAAAGGCACUCUUUUCUGGAGAAAUUAGAUCAUCCAACAAAGGCCUCAACCUGUUCACCAAACACUUAGAUAUAACCUUAUAAAUUACAUUACAUAAACUUAUAGGUCUAUAGUGAGUAAGUCUAGCUGGAUUGGCAAUUUUUGGGAUGAGCACAAUAGAAGUAGCAUUCACUCCUUCCGACAUAACACCAAUGAUAAAUAAAUCCUUAACUGGCGCAGCAAUACUUUCUUUCAAAGUACCCCAAUUGCGCUGAUUUUUUUUGCCGGAAACCCAUCCGGUCCUUGCGCCUUCAGUGGACCUAGUUUAAACAUAGCAUUUGAUAUCUCCUGGUCAGAAAGGCAGGGCAUAGGCGAUUAUUAUCAUCAUUGGUGACUCUAUUUCAAGCAAGUCUAGCACUACCGGAGCAUCAAGAUUAGGAUCAACAGUAAAGAUAGUUUUGAAGUACUCAUUUAUCAAGUCACUCAUGGAAGAGAAGUCCGAAUGAGCACUGCCAUCAUCAUCAAUAAUCUCACGGAUCUUAUUCUUAUGUGCACGCCAAAUAGCUUUGCUCUGAAAAUACUUUGCGUUCCUGUCACCCUCCUUUAGCCAAGUUAGUCUAGAUCUCUGAAGCCACAUCAUCCCCUCUUUAUAAAGGAGUUCAUUCAUCCUAUCGGUCACCUUUCGAAUUUCUGCUCGAUCCCCAUUCAUAUUCACGAGCUCCUCCAGCCGUGUUCGAGAAUUAUUUAACUCUCUCGUAAUGUUGCCAAACUUUUCCUUCCCCCAUGACCGAAGGGUUUUCAUCAUAGAAUCCAAGCCAUCACACAGCUUACCAAGGUUGUUCACCACACCAAAGGAGCCCCAUGCUUCCUUGAUUAUUUCUAGAAGAGCUGAAUCUCUCUCCCACAAUAUUUCAUACUGCCUGCAUCUAGCGCCAAAGUGUCCAGAUUCUGGCUUCCCUAUAAGCAGCAAUGGAAGGUGAUCUGAGCAUGAUGAGACGAGGUGCCUCACUUCCGAAUAAGCAAAGGCAUUACGCCAAGAAUUUGAUGCAACAGCCCUGUCAAGGCGCACCUUCACAUUAGCUUGUCCUUCCCUCUUAUUAUCAUAAGUAAAUGGGACUCCUGAAUAGCCAAGGUCAACAAGACCGCAAAUUUCUAAAGUGUCUCUGAACGCCAUCAUCUGCACCUCCGGCCUGGGAGUGACCGAGAGAUGUUCAAAAUCCCAUGGUUUUUGCUCGAGUUUGUUUUUGUUUGUAGGUCCACCAGAAUGUGGAUGCAAAUUAUCAAUGUACGUACGUUUUCUUUGUGAAAACAUUGAUGUAUUCACAGACACGUCUUGACUGGUGAUAUACAAAAAAUAAUAAAGAAAAUAUAGGAGUCCAGACGUGCCGUACAUGAGCACUGUAAGUACGUCAUUUUCUGUCCCGCCCGAUGCCCGGUCGCUUGUUGGGCCGGCCCGUGAAUUUGAAAAAAGUUCAUUGAUUUUUUUUAAAUAUUCACAGAUUUGACAUAUUUCUUGGAUUUUUAGAAAAUAUUCAUUAAGGAAACAAGUUUGACAAACUGAAAAAGAUUCACGAAUUUAAAAAACAGAAAAAAAAACAAAAGUACUCAUAGUAAAAACAAACUAAACCCGGUUUAAAAAAAGAAGAAAAAACCGGACAUGAAAGUUCACAAAGUUACAUUUGGCACAUAAGAAGUGAAAAAGAAAGCAAGUGGACACAACAAGUAACUUGUCUCAGUUGGUUACUAGAACUUGAAGUAAACCUUAAGGUUUGAAGUUCGACUCUCGGGCGGUACUUACAUAGGCCUUGUAUGGGCGUGGGCAAUGUAUUUUUAAAAAAGACCAUUCUACCUUUUAUUAUGAAAGUGUACGGAGAGAUCUAAUCGGUUGAUGUGUUUAGCGGGGUUGUACUGAAGCAUACCUUUUAUUAUGAAAGUGUACGGAGAGAUCUAAUCGGUUGAUGUGUUUAGCGGGGUUGUGCUGAAGUAGAUAUGUGAAUGAAUAGUCUGGCGCUCUCCGUUGGAAUUCAACCGAUGGUUCGAUUGGCCGACUCCGAGGCUAGCUAGACAGAAGGGCACAUACAUAGGCCGUGUAUUGGCACGGGCAAUGUAUUUUCAAAAAAGACCAUUCUACCUUUUAUUAUGAAAAUGUACAAAAGAGAUCUAAUCGGUUGAUGUGUUUAGUGGAGUUGUACUGAAGCAGAUCGCUCUCCAUUGGAAUUCAACCGAUGGUCCGAUUGGCUGACUUCGAGGCUAGCUAGACAGAAGGGCAAUCGAAUUCAACUGUACCAAUUUUUUAGUCAAAUGUUUGCGUACGACCGAUCGGUCGAGUCUUGGGUCGAUCGUGUCACGUGCAUUUGAUCCCUGUAGACCGCGCGUCUUCGGGUAUCCAUUUUUCUUCUUCUCUGCCUUAUCUUCUUCUUUCUCUACCACUCGACGAACCUCCUCCUUUCCUCUCUUCUUUUCCCCGGCGACGAACCAUCGCCCAGUGAGGGGGCGCACUGCCACGCGCCCCCUUAUGCCCUUUGCAACCUCGUCGCCAUGGCCGCAGGUGACGGGGCUAAGCACUGGAUGCCCUGACUAGCAAGCGGUGCGACUAGCGACGAGGUACAAGGGGGCGGCUGUUCUGCACGUCAACCACCUCAGGGUCUACGAAACACGACAAUGCAUCAAUCGCCAAGGAUGCGCCUCCCGACACCUUCGCUCAUGGUAGUGUUGCAACCCUUGGGAGCGAGAUGCUACAACCGGUCGCUAGAUAUGCUACAUCCGGUGGCGAGGGAUGCAAUAGCCAACCAACUUUUUGCUAGAACCAACUACCGCACUUCGUAGUUUUUUUUGUUUACUGGAACCGGCGUUUGGUUUUGUUACUAACGGCGACUUCAUUUGCUAUUGCCAGCGACGACAUUUUCUUCGCUAAAUCAUCCAUGAAGAUGAUGCAACUUCAACGGCGAGGUUGUACUGAAGCAUACCUUUUAUUAUGAAAGUGUACGGAGAGAUCUAAUCGGUUGAUGUGUUUAGCGGGGUUGUACUGAAGUAGAUAUGUGAAUGAAUAGUCUGGCGCUCUCCGUUGGAAUUCAACCGAUGGUCCGAUUGGCCGACUCCGAGGCUAGCUAGACAGAAGGGCACAUACAUAGGCCGUGUAUUGGCACGGGCAAUGUAUUUUCAAAAAAGACCAUUCUACCUUUUAUUAUGAAAAUGUACAAAAGAGAUCUAAUCGGUUGAUGUGUUUAGUGGAGUUGUACUGAAGCAGAUCGCUCUCCAUUGGAAUUCAACCGAUGGUCCGAUUGGCUGACUUCGAGGCUAGCUAGACAGAAGGGCAGUCGAAUUCAACUGUACCAAUUUUUUAGUCAAAUGUUUGCGUACGACCGAUCGGUCGAGUCUUGGGUCGAUCGUGUCACGUGCAUUUGAUCCCUGUAGACCGCGCGUCUUCGGGUAUCCAUUUUUCUUCUUCUCUGCCUUAUCUUCUUCUUUCUCUACCACUCGACGAACCUCCUCCUUUCCUCUCUUCUUUUCCCCGGCGACGAACCAUCGCCCAGUGAGGGGGCGCACUGCCACGCGCCCCCUUAUGCCCUUUGCAACCUCGUCGCCAUGGCCGCAGGUGACGGGGCUAAGCACUGGAUGCCCUGACUAGCAAGCGGUGCGACUAGCGACGAGGUACAAGGGGGCGGCUGUUCUGCACGUCAACCACCUCAGGGUCUACGAAACACGACAAUGCAUCAAUCGCCAAGGAUGCGCCUCCCGACACCUUCGCUCAUGGUAGUGUUGCAACCCUUGGGAGCGAGAUGCUACAACCGGUCGAUAGAUAUGCUACAUCCGGUGGCGAGGGAUGCAAUAGCCAAUCAACUUUUUGCUAGAACCAACUACCGCAGUUCGUAGUUUUUUUUGUUUACUGGAACCGGCGUUUGGUUUUGUUACUAACGGCGACUUCAUUUGCUAUUGCCAGCGACGACAUUUUCUUCGCUAAAUCAUCCAUGAAGAUGAUGCAACUUCAACGGCGAGUGACAACAUUUUUUUGCUACAAACGACACAACUUUUUGCUACCACCGGCAAUGAUUUUUGUUCCCUCCAUAUGCAGAUGUGACCGUCGCUUUUUAUUUUAUUUUUUGCUACAACCGCGUCAUGUUGUUUUUGCUGCAACCGGCAACCAGAAAGCUACAACUGGUCAGAGUUUUUGCUACGAUGCCAACCGGAUGGCGGCAGCGGCGAGGUUUUUUGCUGGAACUGUAACUUUUUUUGCUACAAUCGGUCGAUUUUUUUGCUGCAACUGCCAACCAGAGGGAUUGUACAGUUAUUCACGAAUUUGUCGUCGUAGGUGCUGCGACUGCCGGCCAUGGUCGCCGAAGCAGUGGCCGCCGCCACUGGAGCAGUGACCGUCGUCAGGAGGAGCUGCAACCAUGGGGACAUGCUGAUGUAUGCAUGGAGCCGAUGAGAAAUACAGUAGACGGCGAUGGCGAGGGCGGCGAGGGUAGCAAUAGACGAGACGCGCAUGGCGGUGUUUCGAGGCCGGGCGUCCAUGGCGGCGCAAUGAGGGCUAUUUGUUUUAGAGAAGAAGGUGCAAGAGAGGAGGAGGAAGAAGAUCGUGCAGCUGGGAACAAAAAUAUCGUACACCGGUGGUGCGACCUGCCCAAAUUUGAGCCUGCCGACCUGCGCGUAUCACUGCCAAUUUAUAUAUAUCUAUCGAACAGAUGGAAUUCAAACGUAGCAUCUUGGAAAGAACCUAUCAUGUCAGUUUUGUUAUAUCCGUGUCAUUUACUUGGUCAUUCCUAAAUAUAAGUCUUUUUGAGAUUCUAAUGCGGACAAUGUACGAAGCAAAAUGAAUGAAUUUAUACUCUAAAAUACGUUUAUAUACAUGUGUAUGUCAGCCGUAUUGAAAUCUCUAUAAGGUUUUAUAGUAAUUAAUUCAGUUUAGACAUCGAUUCAUCUAGCUGAGUAUUGUCCAACAGUUCAUGAUUCAGUGGUUGUUGUAUAUAGGUGAAACUGUAAGCCGUCAUAACUCACCUCCAAGCUCCCUCUCAAUUAGGCUGUACGCGUAGUGGAGAGUUCGUAGCUGCUGUUCGUCAAUUUCGCCUCGGCUUCGCCCACCACCACUGCUUGGUCAGUUUCACCUCGGCAUCCCCUUGUCGCCCACCACCUCCUCGCCGUCGUGGCCGUGUGAAGCGGAUGCGGUGACCUGCAACAACGGUUGACCAGGUUGACUACCGCCUCUUUCUCAAAUCUUUAUUGCAUUUCUAAAAAACAAUAAUUAUUUCUCAAUAAAAAUGUUAUUGCGCACCUGCGUGUUAUCACAGUCAUACGCCAUGCAUACACACAGGUCGUUUUAAGAAAAAAGGUUUUCCCCUGCUUUAUAUUAUAAAGCAAACCACUAAGCAUCCAACGAAACAGUGUCAAGUAUAAUAAGUCAUAGAAUCAUGCUGGGGACAUAGCAAGACAAACCCUAAAUAAAGCUAAAAAGAAGAAAUUAAUCCGGCUCAGGAGGAGGAGGAGGAGGUGGUGGCGGAGGAGCAAAAGACGCUGCCGAGGCACGAAGACCCGCCAUGAUGUUGUCGAUGACGCCUCUCCGCUUGCUAAGCGGUCUCCAGAGCUGUAAGAAGCCACACAUUUUAUAGAUCACAUUAGUCACUCGAGACGGAAUCACUGGUUCGAUGACUAGUUUAUUGCGGGAACACCAAAGAGACCAGGCAAGGGUAGCUAGCGCUACCCAAAUAGGGGCGCGCCUAGGCCCGGAGAGCCUAAAGACCUCCCCGAACAAAUCCGGGAGGUUGUCAUGGCACCACGUGCCCCCAACCACUUCCCGGGAGCAACUCCACAAGAACUGAGCUGCCGGGCACCGGAAGAAGAUGUGGUUGCAAUUUUCCGGUACCAGACAAAUGGGGCAGAUAUCAUCCCCAGGUCCAUUACGCUUACGGACCUCAGUGCCUGAGGUGAGGCGACCUCUAACCCAUUGCCAUAGAAAUGUACGGAUCUUCAGGGGGAGUUUGAUCUCCCAAAGCACCUCUAGCUCCACUGGACCAGGAGUAGGAACAAUCACCUGGUACAGAGAUCUAGUCGAAAAUUUACCGCUUGGCUCCAGAUGUCAAGAAAGCGUAUCCGGUUCCAGCGAAGGGGAGUAAAGGGCAAUACACUCAAGUAGCUCCUCCCAUUGCGCAAGUUCAACCGCCCCGAAGGUUCGGCGCAAGGCAAUCACGCCUAGGUUCGCUAAGGUCGCAGCCACGGAGAUCUGUGGGCGUACACAGAUAGAGAAUAACGCCAAAAAACGAUCUGCAAAGGGGCGGGUACCCGCCCAUCUAUCCAGCCAAAAUAGGGUGGCAGCACCGGAGCCUAUCUGGAUGGAAGUCCCAAUGCGCAGGACUGGUAACAAAGGGAUCACCGAUUGCCAGAAUUGGGAACCUCUAGACCUAGAUGCAAAUGCUAGCGGUUGCCCGUGAAGGUACUUCCCACGGAUAAUCUGAAGCCACAGGCCACCCUCCUCAUUCUGGAUCCGCCAAAGCCAUUUGGACAGGAGGGCAAUAUUCAUUCGCUUGAAGGAAAUAACUCCCAAGCCGCCCUUGUCCUUCGGUUUACAGAUCUCGGACCAUUUGACCAUAUGAUACUUCUGUUUAUUGUUCUCGCCUGCCCAAAAGAAUCGGGAGAGUAGUUUGGUAACUUCAUGAUGGAGGGAUUCAUGUAGACUAUAGAAUCUCAUGAUAUACAUGAAUAGGCUAAUAAGGGAGGAUUUCAUCAGAAUCACUCGAGCGGCUUUGGACGACCAUCUUUCUUGCCAAGGUUCCAUUCUAGGUUGGAGCUUGGCGAUUAUUGGACGAAAGUCCUUCUCCAGGAGCCGUGCGUCAUUAAGGGGCAUGCCAAGAUAGGUCAUCGGGAAGGACCUCAAGCGGCAGUUCAAAUGGUUGGCAAUCCGCUGGGCCUCCCCUUGAGGAUAUCCCAAGACCGUUACCUCGCUCUUGGCAAAGUUUAUUUUGAAGCCCGACAUUUCCUGGAAGCAGAGGAGGAGGAAUUUAAGGUUCUGGAUAUCUUCGUCCGACCCUUCCACCAUCAUAAUGGUGUCAUCGCAUAUUGGAGAUGGGUCAAGCCCCCAUCAGCCACCAGAUGGGGGCAAAUCCCCCUAAUGUGACCCGCGUGCUUGGCCAGUCUAGUAUCGAGGCGAGCGCAUCAACCACAAGGUUGAAGAGAAAUGGGGAAAUCGGGUCUCCCUGUCAGACCCCUUGGCCAGUCGUGAAGUAUGGACCAACCUCCCCAUUGAUAUUUAUAGCCGUCCGGCCACUCAUCACUAACUGCAUCACCCGAGCUACCCAUUGAGGGUCAAAGCCAUGCUUAAGCAACACUUCCCGAAGGAAGGCACACGGGUCGCUUUCCAGCGUGCCGUAUCGUUUACCAUGGGCUGUCUAACAAUUGCUAAUGUAUCUCUAAAAAAACAAUUGCUAAUGUAUGGCCGGCGCAUGAAACCUGACCAAAAUCGGGAGGUCAAAUAAACACCGAGUUUAUCUUUCGCGCGCCGCGCGCCACCCAGACCCGGGCACAGCUACGGGCGGCGGCCCCACGCUCUAGUUCUCAAGCUCAGAUGCAGAUCGACUAUAUAUUUCAUGCCGCCCGGCUGGAACACCUGCACCGCCACAACCCACAACCCUGCCUGUGAAGCAGCUACCUCGAAUUAAAUGUUCACGAGUGAUCAUGCCUAAUCUGCUUGCGAGGCUCGGCAACGGCGGGCGUGGAGCCUGCUACGGCGUCGUGGCGUCCUUGGCAUUGGCGCUCGUGUUCUGCGUGCUCGUCGCCACCGUCAGCGUCUGGAAGGCCUUCCUGUUCGCCGGCAUGGCGCUGACCGCCUUGGGCAUCGGUGAGUGCCUCGCGCCCAAUAGCUGGCGCGUCGGCGCCGCCGCCGAGCGUGAUAUCACAGUGGGCGUGCCUUUGGCAGCAUGCCGGUUCGGGCUCGGCAAGGCCAUGAUCGACUCGUUGCCCACGUUCGCGUACGCAUCCCGUGGCGCCGAUGGCGAUGCCGACCUCGAAUGCGGGAGCGCCCAGCUGUGCUCUGUGUGCUUGGAAGACCUUGAGGACCGCGAGAUGGUGCGGCAGCUGCCGUCGUGCAAGCACAUCUUCCAUGUCGAGUGUGUCGACAUGUGGUUGCACUCGCACACCACUUGUCCUAUCUGCCGCUGCGACCUCUCGCCACAGCGGCCAUGCUCUGCCAAAGUGGCAGCGGUCGAGACGGAACUGCCGGCUGUGCUGCCGCCUGUGUAGUGUGUAGGCAGGCACAUGUAUAGGGCAAUAUAUAUUUUGUACAGAGGGAUUAUUUACCAAGGUUGACACGUCAAAAAUUGUAGCUUAUGAGUGUUCAUUUGAAAAAAUAGACAGAAGGAAUGUACAAAUUAUGACCCGAAGAAAUACCAUCCGAAAUGCUCUUAUAUUUUCUUUGCAGAGGGAAUAAAAACAGAAUAAAAUGCAUAUACGGUCAUGGAACUUGUGUCGAAAGCGCACUUUGCACCAUACUUAAGAAUACGGUCAAUAUAUAUGACUUGAGGUGAUUAUACGGUCACUGACUUAUCAUAUAACUCCGUAUUCUACUCUGUUGACUGGUCAAACAUCACAACACCCUCUCUACCUAUGCGAGUCCCACUUGUUAGUGGGAAAGAGAAAAUAAGGGUCGCUGGAGAAUCAUACCAGGGAUGUUCUGCCGAAGCCCACGUACGCCAACUUCUGUGGCUCUCUCCUACACAACUUUAUGUUAAAUCCGUAGAGCUUUACUGUUAUUUCUUUUUUGAGGAUCAACCUUACGGUUAUUUAAUUAACACGCACACAACACACUUACAUGCAUGCACGCACCACUUAUGCAGCCACCGUUCAAGAAUUGUUUUCGUUUUUGUGUCGGGAAAGCACGCACGGAUCGUAGCAUGCAGAGGGAGCAGAAAGCCCCGUCCUGCCCGCGCACGAUGCAUGCAUGCACACACGCGGCGGUGCGGCUGGACAGGACUGUCGCUGGAUAGCCCGUUCGAUUCUCUGCGAUGCAUGACAUUUUUUUUCUGCUGACAGGUGGGACCAAUAUAAAGAUAGACAUAGGGCGCUAUGAUGUUUGACCAGUCAACAGAGUGAAAUACGGAAUUAUGUAGUAAGCCGGUGACCGUAUAAUCAUCUCAAGUCGUAUAUAGUGACCGUAUUAAUAGUAUUUUUAUGUAUAAUGACCAAAGUGAGCUUUUGACACAUGUUCAAUGACCAUGGAUGCAUUUUACUCAUAAAAACAUGACACCUAAUCGAUAAAACCAUUUCGAGGUGGAAGGGCAAGUGUCUAGUUUCAUUAGUGAAGGGUAUUAAGGUGCAAUGUUUCGGUGUCCAGGCUUAUCUGCACCCUGUUAGAAACAAAAUCACAAAAAAAUAAAAAAAAAUCCAAUUCUUUUUUGCAUGGUAGAAAAUUUAUUGCAUGAGGUACACUCCAAUUUUCAGGUCAUUUGGACGUCUGAGUAGCUCUCAGCAAAAAAAAAACAAAUUGGUCAAAACACUAAACUUUUUUACAGACCCUGAAUUUGUCUUUCUUGCCGAGAGCUGCUCAGAUGAAAAUUGGAGCGGAUCUCGCGCAUCAAAUUAUCUACCAUGCAAAAAAAUGUUUUUUUAUUUUUUCUAGAAUUUGUUUUGAUUUUUUUAGCACGGGUGCAGAUGAGCCUGUGCUCAAAAGUGGAUUACCGCGUUUUGUCCGGUUUUAAAGUGAGGGGUGUUGGUUUAUGCCCUAGAGGCAAUCAUGCGAGAUGUUAUUGUCUUAUAUAUUCAUGAACUUUUGUACUUGAACAUCAUCACUGAUAUGUAUCCAUAAUGAUGUGUCCUAUUUGUGAGACUAUAUAUUGUAUGGUGAUUUUUCUAAUGGUCCCAAGUUGAUAACGUUAUGCACACACAUAUCCUUUCACUAAUAUAAGAUUCGGUUGAUGACUAUGUUUCUUAAGUCAUGGGCAUAGAUAGGCUAACCCUAUAUUAUGGACUCAGGGAUGAGA